UAAAGCGUGCGUAGGCGGCCAAUUAAGUCAAAUGUGAAAUCCCCGAGCUUAACUUGGGAAUUGCAUUCGAUACUGGUUGGCUAGAGUAUGGGAGAGGAUGGUAGAAUUCCAGGUGUAGCGGUGAAAUGCGUAGAGAUCUGGAGGAAUACCGAUGGCGAAGGCAGCCAUCUGGCCUAAUACUGACGCUGAGGUACGAAAGCAUGGGGAGCAAACAGGAUUAGAUACCCUGGUAGUCCAUGCCGUAAACGAUGUCUACUAGCCGUUGGGGCCCUUGAGGCUUUAGUGGCGCAGCUAACGCGAUAAGUAGACCGCCUGGGGAGUACGGUCGCAAGACUAAAACUCAAAUGAAUUGACGGGGGCCUGCACAAGCGGUGGAGCAUGUGGUUUAAUUCGAUGCAACGCGAAGAACCUUACCUGGCAUUGACAUACAGAGAACUUUCCAGAGAUGGAUUGGUGCCUUCGGGAACUCUGAUACAGGUGCUGCAUGGCUGUCGUCAGCUCGUGUCGUGAGAUGUUGGGUUAAGUCCCGCAACGAGCGCAACCCUUUUCCUUAUUUGCCAGCACUUCGGGUGGGAACUUUAAGGAUACUGCCAGUGACAAACUGGAGGAAGGCGGGGACGACGUCAAGUCAUCAUGGCCCUUACGGCCAGGGCUACACACGUGCUACAAUGGUCGGUACAAAGGGUUGCUACACAGCGAUGUGAUGCUAAUCUCAAAAAGCCGAUCGUAGUCCGGAUUGGAGUCUGCAACUCGACUCCAUGAAGUCGGAAUCGCUAGUA
This 779-nucleotide ribosomal RNA is filed under the name uncultured bacterium. Its description in RNAcentral is "bacterial SSU rRNA". It matches the Rfam family "Bacterial small subunit ribosomal RNA", at positions 561 to 1340 of the family's 1533-position model. The record is from RNAcentral.